RNAcentral lists this ribosomal RNA (450 nucleotides) under uncultured bacterium. RNAcentral's name for it is "partial 16S ribosomal RNA". It matches the Rfam family "Bacterial small subunit ribosomal RNA", at positions 338 to 795 of the family's 1533-position model. The record is from RNAcentral.
CCUACGGGUGGCUGCAGUAAGGAAUAUUGGUCAAUGGAGGAAACUCUGAACCAGCCAUCCCGCGUGAAGGAUGAAGGGGCUCUGCCUUGUAAACUUCUUUUGUCUGGGGCGAAAAAGCUCGAUUUAUCGAGAACUGACGGUACCAGAAGAAUAAGCACCGGCUAACUCCGUGCCAGCAGCCGCGAUAAUACGGAGGGUGCAGGCGUUAUCCGGAAUAACUGGGUUGUAGGCGUGCUAGGAAGUCUUAGUUGAAAGGCUGUGGCUUAACCAUGGAAUUGCCAUUGAUACUGCAGAGCUUGAGUGAGGUUGAGGUUGGCGGAAUGUGACAUGUAGCGGUGAAAUGCUUAGAUAUGUCAUGGAACACCGAUUGCGAAGGCAGCUGACUGGACCUAUAUUGACGCUGAGGCACGAAAGCGUGGGGAGCGAACAGGAUUAGAUACCCGGGUAGUC